RNAcentral lists this antisense RNA (150 nucleotides) under Methyloprofundus sedimenti. RNAcentral describes it as "Bacterial antisense RNA HPnc0260". It matches the Rfam family "Bacterial antisense RNA HPnc0260". Lineage: Bacteria; Pseudomonadati; Pseudomonadota; Gammaproteobacteria; Methylococcales; Methylococcaceae. The record is from Rfam by way of RNAcentral.
UAAAAGUAACUUUAAACACACUGCCCCAAAGCUGUUUUUAGCCACAGCGUUUUUCAAGCGUAUUUUUAUUUUUGAACUUUCAGAAAUUACCAUCUAAAACAAGAGUUUAGAUGGUAGGCACGAGUGAAUUCGAAUCACCGACCCCCACCA